Molecule: ribosomal RNA, 513 nt
Filed under: uncultured bacterium
Lineage: Bacteria
Description: partial 16S ribosomal RNA
Rfam family: Bacterial small subunit ribosomal RNA
Source: RNAcentral
GAUGAACGCUGGCGGCGUGCCUAAUACAUGCAAGUCGAGCGAACAGACGAGGAGCUUGCUCCUCUGACGUUAGCGGCGGACGGGUGAGUAACACGUGGAUAACCUACCUAUAAGACUGGGAUAACUUCGGGAAACCGGAGCUAAUACCGGAUAAUAUAUUGAACCGCAUGGUUCAAUAGUGAAAGACGGUUUUGCUGUCACUUAUAGAUGGAUCCGCGCCGCAUUAGCUAGUUGGUAAGGUAACGGCUUACCAAGGCAACGAUGCGUAGCCGACCGGAGGAGAGGAUCGGCCAAACUGGAACUGCGCACCGGUCCGGACUCCUACGGGAGGCAGCAGUAGGGAAUCUUCCGCAAUGGGCGAAAGCCUGACGGAGCAACGCCGCGUGAGUGAUGAAGGUCUUCGGAUCGUAAAACUCUGUUAUUAGGGAAGAACAAAUGUGUAAGUAACUAUGCACGUCUUGACGGUACCUAGUCAGAAAGCCACGGCUAACUACGUGCCAGCCGCCGCCGUAA